This 394-nucleotide ribosomal RNA is filed under the name uncultured bacterium. Its description in RNAcentral is "bacterial SSU rRNA". It matches the Rfam family "Bacterial small subunit ribosomal RNA", at positions 505 to 898 of the family's 1533-position model. The record is from RNAcentral.
GUGUCAGCAGCCGCGGUAAUACGAAGGGGGCUAGCGUUGUUCGGAAUUACUGGGCGUAAAGGGCGCGUAGGCGGCUCUGUGCGUCGGGCGUGAAAGGCCUGGGCUCAACCCAGGAAUGGCGCCCGAUACGGCGGAGCUCGAGUGUGGGAGAGGAUGGUGGAAUUCCCAGUGUAGAGGUGAAAUUCGUAGAUAUUGGGAAGAACACCGGUGGCGAAGGCGGCCAUCUGGACCACAACUGACGCUGAGGCGCGAAAGCGUGGGGAGCAAACAGGAUUAGAUACCCUGGUAGUCCACGCCGUAAACGAUGUGCGCUAGACGUUGGGGGACCUAGUCUCCCGGUGUCGCCGCUAACGCAUUAAGCGCACCGCCUGGGGAGUACGGCCGCAAGGUUAAA